Molecule: long non-coding RNA, 440 nt
Filed under: Mustela putorius furo (domestic ferret)
Lineage: Eukaryota; Metazoa; Chordata; Mammalia; Carnivora; Mustelidae
Description: lncRNA (ENSMPUG00000028939.1)
Source: RNAcentral
CUGCUGGUCCAUAGAGGAGAGGGUUUGCUUUGGAGGCAGGGGUGUGAAUUCCCAGCAGCACAGGCACGCAUUCUGGGGAGAGGGUGUGUACAGGUGAGCACUGACGCUUCUGUGACAUCUCGUCUUGGACAGGUCUCCAUUCCUGAGUGGACGCAGGUGGCUCCGCGUGUGGGCUCGGAGUCUCCCCUCCCUGUACCUUGAGUUCGGAGAACUGGCCAUCCUCCAGGCUCCGUCAGCCAAUGGUGGGCAUGUUGUGGACAUCCUCUUCACACACGGUGGGCAUUUCAGCCCAAGGUCUCCUGAAUCCAUGGAUCCCUGGCAGAGGCUGUGGGCCAGGUCCCUUGAGGGACCUUGGCUGUCUCCCAAACUCACCAAUCGUGGACUGGCAAAAGGGAGGGGAAAAUCGUGCCCUGGUGGACUGUGAGGUAAGAUUCCUGUUG